GGGGCUAUAGUGUAGCUUGGCUAUCACGCAUGGUUUGGGACCACGUAACCCCGGUUCGAAUCCGGGUAGCCCCA
RNAcentral lists this transfer RNA (74 nucleotides) under Candidatus Woesearchaeota archaeon. RNAcentral's name for it is "tRNA-Pro". It matches the Rfam family "tRNA". From Rfam's summary of the family: Transfer RNA (tRNA) molecules are approximately 80 nucleotides in length. Lineage: Archaea; Nanobdellati; Candidatus Woesearchaeota. The record is from RNAcentral.